CUUUAGAUUUCUUUUCCUUGGAUUUUUGGCCUUUGUUAGCUUUCUUUCCAUCCGUUCCUUUCUUCUUAUCACCAUCACUAUCUGAAUGGGAUGACGAAGAUUCAUCAGACGAUGAAUCAUCAUCUUGAUCGCUCCAUGGCAUUGGCCUCUUCAUGGCACAGUAUAAAUGUAUAGCCCUGGAAACUGCUGCACCGGAUCGACAGAGGAGGGCUUUAGGGUUUCUGCUUUGCGAGGCAAUGCCUCCAGGCGCGAGAGAG
This 257-nucleotide unclassified non-coding RNA is filed under the name Hevea brasiliensis (rubber tree). Lineage: Eukaryota; Viridiplantae; Streptophyta; Magnoliopsida; Malpighiales; Euphorbiaceae. The record is from RNAcentral.